GACACGGUCUGAACUUUGAACAGUCUUAUGGAAAAUUUGAGAUGGUGUUAAGAACCGGCUCCCAGCUCUCCCACACACACCGUGGCAACCUCGUACUAACAUUGGCUUAAACAGUUACAAAGCAUGUUGGCGCCCGUCAUUCAACAGAGAAAAGAAACAGGCAGAGAAAAGAAAAAAACACGACCCUGGGACGUUGGAUCAUAUCGGCCCAGCACAGCGAGACAAAAGCUGGCGAUCCUCGGGUUGGCAUGUGACGGUUCACUGGGCGCUCGGCACAAGGACGCUUUGAAACAAUGACACCGCGUGGAGGCUCAAUCACCGAGGUCACAGGGGAGCCAGAGAGGGGAUCACUUAGCUACGGGCUUAAGUAUAUCAGCCAACAUCUAUGGAGCACUUGCGGUGUGCCAGGCCCGCUCUAAGCAUGCACUUGUGUUAAUCUAAUCCUGACAUCCGCCCUUGGAGAGGGGCAAUGGUAUUAGCCAUGUCUCACACAUGGGGAAACUGAGACCUAGAGUGGUGAGGGAGGCCUUGCUAUUUGUCCCACAGCUAGUGAGAGAUGGACUCUGCAGCCUGGUAACUGCACACCCUGAAUCCGCAAAGCCCUGCACCAGCGGAAUACAGCAGAUGAUGUGCUGGAAUGAAGAAAAUCUGGAUUCCGUGCUCCCCAGCCCCUUCUUGCAUAGGAUCUCGUACCGCGUAGCUGGGCUGUCACUCGGGGGCUCCCAGUUUCUGGAAAACAGCCUCUCAGAGACUGUUCCUCCCAUUCCAUGUGGUGGGCUGACACUCUUCCAGUAAAUGUUGUCUGCUUCUGA
Canis lupus familiaris (dog) is the source of this 812-nucleotide long non-coding RNA. RefSeq lists it as uncharacterized. The transcript has 2 exons. Lineage: Eukaryota; Metazoa; Chordata; Mammalia; Carnivora; Canidae. The record is from RefSeq and is a predicted model, not a curated record.